RNAcentral lists this transfer RNA (87 nucleotides) under Litorivicinaceae bacterium. RNAcentral's name for it is "tRNA-Leu". It matches the Rfam family "tRNA". From Rfam's summary of the family: Transfer RNA (tRNA) molecules are approximately 80 nucleotides in length. Their secondary structure includes four short double-helical elements and three loops (D, anti-codon, and T loops). Further hydrogen bonds mediate the characteristic L-shaped molecular structure. tRNAs have two regions of fundamental functional importance: the anti-codon, which is responsible for specific mRNA codon recognition, and the 3' end, to which the tRNAs corresponding amino acid is attached (by aminoacyl-tRNA synthetases). tRNAs cope with the degeneracy of the genetic code in two manners: having more than one tRNA (with a specific anti-codon) for a particular amino acid; and 'wobble' base-pairing, i.e. permitting non-standard base-pairing at the 3rd anti-codon position. Lineage: Bacteria; Pseudomonadati; Pseudomonadota; Gammaproteobacteria; Oceanospirillales; Litorivicinaceae. The record is from RNAcentral.
GCGAGCGUGGUGGAACUGGUAGACACACAGGACUUAAAAUCCUGAGGCAGAAAUGCCGUGCGGGUUCGACUCCCGCCGCUCGUACCA